AGUGAACGCUGGCGGUAGGCCUAACACAUGCAAGUCGAACGGCAGCACAGUAAUAGCUUGCUCUUACGGGUGGCGAGUGGCGGACGGGUGAGGAAUACAUCGUAAUCUACUUUUUCGUGGGGGAUAACGUAGGGAAACUUACGCUCAUACCGCAUACGCCCUACGGGUGAAAGCAGGGGAUCUUCGGACCUUGCGCGAUUGAAUGAGCCGCUGUCGGAUUAGCUAGUUGGCGGGGUAAAGGCCCACCAAGGCGACGAUCCGUAGCUGGUCUGAGAGGAUGGUCAGCCACACUGGAACUGAGACACGGUCCAGACUCCUACGGGAGGCAGCAGUGGGGAAUAUUGGACAAUGGGCGCAAGCCUGAUCCAGCCAUACCGCGUGGGUGAAGAAGGCCUUCGGGUUGUAAAGCCCUUUUGUUGGGAAAGAAAAGCAGCAGGUUAAGACCCCGCUGUUCUGACGGUACCCAAAGAAUAAGCACCGGCUAACUUCGUG
This 492-nucleotide ribosomal RNA is filed under the name uncultured bacterium. Its description in RNAcentral is "partial 16S ribosomal RNA". It matches the Rfam family "Bacterial small subunit ribosomal RNA", at positions 29 to 507 of the family's 1533-position model. The record is from RNAcentral.